This 1352-nucleotide ribosomal RNA is filed under the name human gut metagenome. RNAcentral's name for it is "bacterial LSU rRNA". It matches the Rfam family "Bacterial large subunit ribosomal RNA", at positions 658 to 1991 of the family's 2925-position model. The record is from RNAcentral.
AAAGGGAGCCGGAGCGAAAGCGAGCCUGAACAGGGCGACUUGAGUCCCGCGCCGCGGACGCGAAGCCGGGUGAGCUAUCCAUGGGCAGGCUGAAGCGGGGGUAAGACCCCGUGGAGGGCCGAACGCACGUCGGUUGAAAACGGCGGCGAUGACCUGCGGAUAGGGGUGAAAGGCCAAUCAAACCCGGAGAUAUCUCGUUCUCCCCGAAAUAGCUUUAGGGCUAGCGUCGCGCGUUCACCGCCGGAGGUAGAGCACCGGAUGGACGAGGGGGCUUCGCCGCCUACCGAAUCCAACCGAACUCCGAAUGCCGGCGGCCCAGAGCGCGGCAGUCAGAGCAUGUGGGCUAAGCUGUGUGCUCGAGAGGGAAACAGCCCGGACCGCCCGCUAAGGUCCCCAAGUUCCAGCCGAGUGGCAAAGGAUGUGCGUCCGCCCAGACAACCAGGAUGUUGGCUUAGAAGCAGCCAUGCAUUCAAAGAGUGCGUAACAGCUCACUGGUCGAGUGGACAUGCGCCGACAAUACACGGGGCUAAGCUGGACACCGAAGCGGCGGGAUUUUGAUUUACAGAAUCGGUAGGGGAGCUUCCCAUGGGCGGGGAAGCCGCCGGGCGACCGGCGGUGGCGCGCAUGGGAGUGAGAAUGCUGGCAUGAGUAGCGAGAGACGAGAGAGUAACUCGUCCGCCGUGAACCCGAGGUUUCCUGGGCAAGGCUAAUCCUCCCAGGGUCAGUCGGGGGCUAAGGCGAGGCCGGGAGGCGUAGCCGACGCGCAGCAGGCAGACAUUCCUGCACCGCGCACGCGGCGCUACGACCGACGGGGCGACGGAUGGGGGUGGCUCGGCGGGGUUCUGGACGUCCCCGUGAUGGAGCGCGGCCCGCGGACCAGGGAAAUCCGGUCCGCACGAGGGCGAGGCUCCGGACGAAGCGAUCAAGCGAAGCGAGUGAGCCCGAGGUCCCUAGAAAAACCCCUAGGCAGGCGCGUGCGCGCCCGUACCGCAAACCGACACAGGUGGGUGGGUAGAACAUACCGAGGCGAUCGGGUCAACCAUGGUCAAGGAACUCGGCACAAUGGCCCCGUAACUUCGGGAGAAGGGGUGCCCGCGCGUACGUGAACGGACUUGCUCCGGGAGCGGAGGCGGGCCGCAGUGGAGAGGCCCAAGCGACUGUUUACCAAAAACACAGGACUCUGCAGAAGCCGCAAGGCGACGUAUAGGGUCUGACGCCUGCCCGGUGCCGGAAGGUCACGCGGAGGAGUUAGCCGCAAGGCGAAGCCCCGAAGCCAAGCCCCGGUAAACGGCGGCCGUAACUAUAACGGUCCUAAGGUAGCGAAAUUCCUUGUCGGGUAAGUUCCGACCUGC